AAGAACACAACAACAAUACCCCCCAUACCGGCGUACAUCUCUUUUAUACUGCCAUCAUUAUCAUCUCUCCCCCUUCUCGUGCCUAUCGUGUUCUCUCAUCGGGCUUGUCCCUGCUUUGCUUCCUCUCUCGUUCCCCUCUUCCCUCUUCCCUCUUCCCUCCUCGUGCGCAUGUGUGCUUCCUCUCUUUCUCUCUUUGUCUGCCGCGUCUCCUCGUACACGAUUGUGUUUUGUCUCUCCUGCUGUUUCCUCGUCACCCUGCUCUUCUCUCUCCUUCCCUUCAACGUGUUGUCAGCGCAGAGGUUUCUGCGUGUGCAGGUGUGUGUCUGCGUGCCCUGAAUGAAACUAGUGAUCCACAACGAGUCGCGCUCAUGGUAGAGUCGCACAGCAGCAACAUCAAGAAACGAAAAGACGGCGACAACUCUCUACCUUAUCCGCCUCUCUGUUUUCCACGGGCCGCGCGCGUGCACAGGCUUUGUUGAAGCUGACGCGCAGCACUAGGGACGGCGCACAGACCCUCCCCCCCCACACACACAAAAAAAAGGCAAGGAGAAGCGCUAAAGUGAAACGCCACACCCGCGAAAAAAGGGGGGAAGCAGCUGAGGGCAAUCCAGCGCGAAGAAACGGAAGGGAAACUGAGACGUAGAAAGGAGAAAAAAGGACGAAAAAGUGUGCGAGAGGACGAAGCCAGCACACAGACAGAUAGAGGCAAAAAGAAGUACACGCAAGCGCACAUAUAUACACACGCAGUGAACGUUAGUUCACUCACCGACUUACCGACUCACGCGAGCACACGCGCCGAUAUAGGGGCACGUACUUAUCAACCUCUAGUUGCCAAGAACAGCAACUACGACGCAAAAAAAAAGCAAGCAGACCGGGGGCGCAAUAAGCUCCAGUCAGGGGAGGGAAGACCAAUAAAAACAAAGGAGAAAAACAGUCAAGGGUGAAGGAAACAAACGUGGACAUCAAUCAACCGUACAAACACGCAACAAACAAACACAGACCGAGAGACAGAGAAGUGCUGCCAGUAAUACCGAUUGUGCGUGUGCCUGUGUGUGUUGUGUGCGUGUUGCGUGCGCGCAUGUGUGUGUGUGGGCUAUAUGCAUGUGUAUGUAUGUAAAUGUCUUGCCCUUGACAGUACCGCUACUCUUACGACCAUUAUCACUAUUUGUUUUUUUUCUUUUUUAUCAUUAUUCUUUUCAUCAACUCUCUCGGUCUCUCUGUCUCUGUCUUCCUUCUCUUUUUUCUUUCUGGACUUGUUUCGGCUCUGCUUUACUUGCUUUCGCUUCAUUUUGUGUAGUAGUUGCUACGGGACCGCCUUUCCUUCUCCUGUCUACCCCUCAGCCCUUCAACCCUCAUACGCACAGAGAGACACACACAUAUUCACACGCACUCAAUCACGCCAUCUUUUUUUUUUCAUUUUGGUGUGUGUGUGUGCUUCUGUAUACCUGUGUUUCUACCACGCUCUAGCACCGACUCGAUAGUGAAAGCAGAGAGGCGCAGCAACAAGAGCAGCAACGAAAAGACACAGGAUCACUAACGAACAGCCUCUAUCCCUUCUUCCCCGAACAAGAACAACCCUACGACAAAAAAAGAAAAACGAACAAAGCCAAGCGCCACAAGCAACAAGCACACACACACACACACACACACACACAAAAGGCGACGAGCGAGUGAAGGGAACAAGCUUAAAGGCCUGAGGUGAGUUGUCUCAAGACAUUCGUGAUACGCUUACUUCUGUCCUUUUUCUUCUUUCCUGUUCAGUUCAACGUUUGCUUUACCUUUUCGUUUUUCAUCUCUUUCCACUUCUAUUUUUUUCGUCGGCUCGUUUCCUGCGUCUUCCAUCUUUAUUUUCCCGUGGUGUGUUUGUCUUCGAGUGUGUAUGUGUGUCUGUGCGUGCGUGCGUAGUUUUCCGUCCGCUCUUCACCUCUACUUCUCUCUCAACUCUUAUUCCCACUUCAGCCUCCCUCACCCACGCAGCUGUUUGACGCACAGAUACAUCUCAAACUUCUCUCUGUUUCUGUUCAUAUAAAAUCAUUCUUUACUUUGGCUUCUCCACUCUUUUUUUUUCGGUCUCCUUUUCUUGCUCGCCCUCACUCCUGCUCCUCUCCUCCCCGUUCUCUGCCCCUCUUCUUCCCCUUGCUUCCUCUUUUUUUUUGGUCGUUUCGUUGGCGUGUACCUCAUGCGCGCUCGCACCGGUUCGCGGUGGGCCUCGUGACUUGCGCAUACUCUUUCGUCCACACACCGAACACGAACGCGCACACGUUUUUUUCGUGUCGUUUGCCGUUCCGGCGCGUGACGCUGGUCUCGCGCUUCGCGUUCGUGUAUUCUGUUGUCCUUUAACCUCUUUGCCACCAGCCCCUCUUUUUUGCCUUUUUCUUCUCCGUUCCCUUGCACGUUUACUUCCGAGCUCUCCGGAACUUUUUUUUCGAGUUGUGUGUUUGCUUUCGUAGAUUGGCCCCCCCCUCCCCCGCUUCGCCCACCUGAGCGUGUGCGUCGCGGAGAUAGAGAAGACGUGCGUACGGGGGUGGGCAUGAAACAGCCCAGCGAAGAGUUGUGCAAAGCCCAGAUAUAAGGCAUCUUUCGAAAAAAAGAGUUGUUUUGCGUACCGGUUGGAGGGUGAAGUGCAUACAGCCCGCGCACACACAGAGCUAGGAAAAGCGAAAGCAGCAAAUAAAAAAAGGAUAGUAGUGCCAUAUCUAUAGGUGUUAGAGGGGGGGGGGAGGGCGGCACGCGCACGGUGGGAAAACGUUCCGAAUGUGUUAACUGCAUUUUUACAAAAAACAUACGCAUACACAGUGUAGGUGGCGCGUCUUUUUUUCUUCCUUUUAUUGGUGAGCGGUUGCGUCUUGCGCAUCUGACGCUUGCGUUGGCUUUUCACCUUUCGCUCUCUCUGUUCGCCCUCCCUCUUCUUUGCGCGUGUGCGAGUUUGUGCGUUUGUCUGCGAGUAGUAUCAUCUUCGUCUCUCCUCAUCGCUUUUUUCGUUUUCCAUUGUGCUCUCUCCCCCUCCGUAUUUCUUUAUUUUUCCUUUUCGCACCUGCUCUGGAGGGCUCUACUCGACGACAGGCUUUCGCCCACCCCCUCACCUUCCCAGAUUGUUUUCUCUCUUGCUGCGUUUCUUGCUCUGCUUUUGUUCCUCUCUUCACUCGCAUACCCCCUCCCCCUACACACACAUACCAGGUAACGGACUAUUUCUUCGUCUUUUUUUUCAGCGGUGUAUCGUUUUCUUUGACUCUUUUCAGCAUCACCGCGAUCUUUCCUCUGUGCAUUUGACGCAGCUGAGCACCGUCUUGUGCCUUCGUCUCUCCACCUCUUUCUGUCCCCUCCUUUCUCUUGCACGCUCCCUUUCCCGCUUCUUUCAACGUCUCUCUGUGUCUUGUACGAGGUUUUCUCUUUGUGCGCGCGCGGGAGAGAAAGCUUCGGUGAGUCGUGUGUACGUAUAUGGAAGCACAACUCCUCCUUUAGAGUACACACACACACACACAUACACGUGCACACGAACCCAAAGGGACCGAGAAAGAGCAAGGAAGGUGUGCGUACCCCUACAUCUCAUUUUAGACCUAUCCCUUUCUUCUUAGCCUUCUUUUAGCUGCUUUCCUGCGUUCUUUAAGGGGAAGAGGACACGUGAGCAAGCUGCAUCAGCACACAAGCGUGAAAACUCUUGGCGAAAAGGGGAAGAAGCAGGCACAAGGGCGCCACGUGUGCCCAGAGAGAGAGGAAGAGAGGCGAUAAGAGUGAAGUGGCUUGACCUCCUUAAAAGGAACGACGAUUCAGGCAGCGGUAACGGGAGAGGUAUCCAUCAAGUGCUGGGAGUGAUUUACGCACAUACACGCACUCAAACAGAGCUGCACGGCAGAGUGGACUCCACAUUUCACUAUAUAUGUGUAUGUUUUUUUUUUCUGCCCUCUUUUUGCUUCUGUGACUGGACUCGUGCUGUGUGUGUGCUCGACUUGGAACUUCCCCCUCCCUUUUCUUUUCUCUCUUUCGCUUUAUGUUUGUCUCAAACGUCAAGUUUUGUGCACGGGUGAAUUGGUGUGUUUGUCUGACUUUCCCGGUCAUAUCAGGCUGUUUGUGUGCAUUGCUUUUUUCCUUUUUUUGUCUAUCUUCCCCAGUGCUCUCCUGCCUCCACCUGUCUUCCCCAAGUUUUUCUUCGUCUGUGCUUCUCUGCAAGUGUCUUAUACCCCCUGUACGGGUGUAUGCUUGUUUCUGCGUGCAUUUCUUCCCCACUUGUUUUCUCAUCUUCGGUUCCGCAAAAGAAAAAAGCACGUGUCGGUGACUGCGCUCUGCGUCGUCCUUGUGCACUCGCGACGGGGCGAGAGAACAAAAAAGAGAGGUGUGUCUGUGUGUGUGAAGACGAGAAACAAGAGGGUGAAAAUCAACAACAGCAAAGACACACACACACACACACACAAACACAGACGAACUGCGUGUACGUGGUGCCGUGUCCUUCCCCUUCUUCCGUUUAUCGCUGCACUCGCUGCUCUUGCCUUCCUGUUCAUACACGUUUGGUUUUGCCUUUUUCUCCGCUUUCUGCAGCCACCCUCCCUCCUUCUGCCUUCUCCGCUUCGUUCUCCACACGGCUCUCCGCCAAGGCCUCUUUACUGUCUCCGUCGCCCAUCUUUCUCUCCAUUUUUCUCGUGUUUUUGCGUCCGUGUCCCACGAGUGUUUCUCGUUUUCUUCUUUCGCCUUAUAUAUAUAUAUAUAUAUAUAUAUAUAUAUAUACGUUUUUUUUUGCCUUUUCGGGACAAGUGGCAACAGUGGGCUGCCCCUCCCCCUUUUUUCUCUUGUAUAUGGUCUUGUCUCUCUGUGUGUACACAUAUAUGCAUAGAUGUAGGUAUGGUGUACGUGUUUCCGUGUUUUUUUUUCGUGUUUGUGGUUCUGCUUUCCCACCCACUCGCCUCGAUUUUGCCGCUUUUGUCGUUUCGCUUGUUUGAUUGGUUUGAGUCUUAGUGUGUAUAUGCUUUUCUAUCUUUUUUUUUUGUAUAUCGAAUCCAUAAAUCGAUUUCUUCAUCCGUUUACGCCUGCUCCCCAUUCCCACCCCUCCGUUUUAGCGUGCAUGUAUGCGUGUGUGCGUUCAUUGGCUUCGUUUUUUUUUAUUCGUUGCUUGGUGGGGCCCUUCCUAUCCCUUUCUGGUUUUCGCCGUGCUUGUACGCCUCGCGCGUACCUGUGCCUGUGCGUCUUCGUGUGUGCUGCCGUUUGCCGCAUCUUCUAUUCUGCUGUGCUCUCGCCCUCCCCCUCUCUCUCUCGCCUUUGUUGCUCUUCGCUCCGUUUCGACAGCUUGGCCAUUGUCUAUCGUGCAGGUCGACACAUUCCCAAACGUAUCACCGCCACCACCAUCUCAGAAAACAGGGAAAGGCAAAAUUGCCAAUACUAGUGCACGAAGAAAUCGGGGAAAAAGGAAGGCGCACGGCAAGGGGCGGUGCUUUUCCGCGGACGUAGUCGCAGUCACUGAAGCACAUACAAAGCGCUUGGCUCGUCUUCUCAACGCGCGUGCGCGUGAUUACAACGCCUCGCUCGCUUUCUCUGUACUGCCGCUUGACUGCGUGUGCGUGUGUGCGUGUGUGCGUGUGCUCGCGCAUACAAACACUGUGCAUACGUGCACGCAUACUCGCACUUUUCCAACAAACAGCAAAAACGAUUUUUUUUUUGUUUCGCUUUCGUCUAUACAUACACAUACAUAUAUAUGCACAUAACCGUUCUCAGUUUAACCUGCAAAGAAGACAGCAAAUUCCAACUGGAGGUGAACCAGCCGGUGAGUGCGCUGCCACCGAAAAGAAAGCGACAUUGCUCAAGAACGGAAGAGGAAAGUUUUUUUUCAAGCUGCGUCUGUCUGUCUGUCUCCCUCUCUGUGUGGUACUGUCCGUGACCUCCUUUAUCGUUGCUGGCUCGCUUUCGAGUCGUCUGCAGAAGACAGACGCAGACAAGAAAGAGUGAAGGUGAAAGAGGUGCGCUGGAUUGUGAGAGCGAGAGGGAUCGUGCAAGAAGCGCGAAAAAGGGUAGAAACGAAGAGGAAAAGAGUGGAGGAGAGCAAAAAAACGUAAAGUUUGACAGAGACGUCCCUCUUGUUUUACCUGUGGGCCGGCACUUGCGGACACACGCCGCACCACAGAAAAAGAAAAGCAAACCGAAAAAAAAAAAGAUCGGCUUGGGUGGACGGAACGGACGCUCUCGGAUCGUCGGCGAAGCUUUGCGAAUUUGAUUUCGCUUGCAGUUUUGUUUACUGCGCUACUUUCAUCUUGCCUCGUCGCAGAUACCUGUUUUGUUUUAUCCGUUUUUCUCCCCUUCCUCGUCUCCCCUACGCUCUCACGUCCUCUGUCUCGCUACUCGUCUCCCGUCUUCGCCUGCUCCACACGAUUAGACGCUUCCUUUUUUUUUUCCCAUCUUUCCUCUCCGGCUCGCAUUCGCGGUUUCUGACCCCUUUUUUGUUGUUUGUGUGUGUUUGUGCCCACCUCUUACCCCUCCCCCCGCCCGCCCGCCUCUUCGUUUCCAUUUGUUCCUCCCUUGUUCUUCCUGUCUGGGCUUUGCUUCUGGCUUCGGUGUGAGUUUCUUACGCGUAAACAUUGUUUUCGUGCGUUCUCUGUGCGCUCACGACCUCGUCUCCGUGCCGUUACAGCUCUCCGGAGUCCAGUGUUGUUGUUCUCCGUUGCUCUGUGCCGCCAAGUCGCCUUCCUCAUCACCGUCCCCUCAUUCCCCCCUCAUCUCUUCGUGUCUCUCUCUUUUUCUCUCCGUGUCUGUGUUAGUGCGUUCUUGUUUGUAUUCGGGUGUGUUUAUUCCUCCCACGUGUCUCCACUACUCGGGUCAUCUUGCUUGCUUUCCCGUACUUCAGCGUGUGCACGUCCUACGAGUACGUUGGUAAGCGCACCCCUCUCGUACCCCUCUUCUACCGUCUUCUGUGUGUGUGUGCGCGCGCGUCCCCUAUCUCUCUCUCUCUUUGCUUUCGGGUGUGCUGGAGUGCGCGUGUUAGCGGCGCUGCCUCCGCGUUACUGAAAGCACUUCUCGUUUCCAAUUUUUUUGUUGUUUAUUCGAAAACUUCUCUCUUUGCGUGCUUGCCGGUCACUUCUUCCCUCUUUCCUACUCUCUGCUGCGUUCGUCGCCCCGACCCCCUGCCCCGCUUCUUUCUCGCCUUCUCUUCUGUCUGUUGUGUAGCAGAGCACCUUCCUCCUUUUCUUUGCCAGCUUCUCUCUUUUUUUUUUGUUUUUGGUUUCCUCUUCUUGUUCCCCCUUUCGUCUGCUCGGAUGUCAUCAAACCCGUCUUCAAGUCCCCCACCACGAGUGCACUCGCCGCAGCGCCUUCCUCAGGGCAUCUAUGGUGGUGCUGCUCGUGCACUCGCCGUCGCGGCAUGUCCUUUAUGGACCCGUGGUAUCGCGGGUGACGCUGGUGUGCCGGCCUCAGCGCACAGUGGCUACGAGACAAAUCACAGCCGUAGUGAGUUGGCGCAAGCCCAUCAGCGGCACGCCCACGCAUUACCAUCACCCAUUAAAGCCGACCCAUCGACGACAGGUCCGCCGACACCACCACAGAAGCCACAGCGAUCCUCGGCUGACCUGCUGGUGACGGUGCCCACUGCAGCCGUGACCAAAUCCGCCAGCGACGGCCCUCAUGCCACAGAUCACGCUCGUCCCAGCACGCGAGCCCGGCAGCAGCCGCAACACCUCACACAGCUCAGCGCCUCCACGGCAGACGAGGGCAGCGCUACUGCUGCUGCGCCGCCUCUCUGGAGCGUGCUACCGCCAUGGGCGCAGCUUGACUUUGCAGCUUUUGACGGCAGGAAAUUCUCGGUAGACACGGCUCCCAUCUCUGGCGGCGGCGAGGGCGGCCCUCCGUGGGAGCUCAUCACAGCUCAGAACCGGAUCACCAAGCCGCAGCCCAUCCAAGCAGAGCGCACAAGGGACAGCAAAGCCCGCUCGUACCUGCGCGUGCAGCGGCAAGUGCCACGCGAGCAGCAGUCAUCGUCGCCUCAAGUCCGUACGGCCGCUGGCGGGGUCUCCAUCAUAGCGGACGCAUCCAGCUUCGCCUCCUCCCCUUUGUUUGAGUGGGUGCCGUAUGAUGGAUGGGAUGACAGCGACCUCUGCCAAGGGAAAGGAGGUGGGUACUACAGGCGAGAUGCCUCGGGCCGGCAGUACCGUGUCACGCAUCGACUUCGCCCUGGUGACUUGUCAGGACCGUUAGCGGCGAUGGAAUCCGGCGCCACCACCCCCGGGCAGACGCAGGGCCCAGAUGGUGUUGGUGGGGCAGCGAUACCAGUCACCGUUAAUGCCAACCCCGCGGUUCCCUCGCCGCAGCGCACCGGGGAAGCCACCUGCGCUGACCUAGAUGCCCCACAGAGAGGUUUGCAGCAGCAGCACCGGCACAAGCGGAGAGCCGCUGCGCCGGCGGCGAACGCCUCACCGCUGGCGUUUCGCGACACCGUGACGACUGAUAAACCGCGCGGCGUGCGGCGCGACAACCACGCAGAGGAGAACAGGGGCGAGGAUAAUGGCGGCGGUAGUGGUGGUGGUGGGGCUGGUGAUGCCGUCGGACUUGGGCACGAAGGCUUCACCACAACCAUGGUGACACCACCACCACUGCUCUCGUCCGCCGCUGUCGCACAAGGCACCUACGCGUUGCGGCACUUCCAGUUUCAGCACGCCAUCGCUGCGGCGGCACCGUCUUCCUUGGGCUUCCCAGGCGCGGGAGCAGCAGCGGCUGCGCACCGUACCAGCAGCGGCGUCGCCGGCUCCUUUUUCCUCCCUCUCGAAGCGGUGAUACGCAAGGCGCUGCCGGUUUCGCGCGGGGGCUUCUCCUCCCGAGCCUGCAGCGUGUACACCGGUGUGCGAUCUGACGGGACGUUGUCUAUCAUAAUGCUGGAGGAGUAUCCCGGCUACACGGAAUCCACGCCAGCGCAACCCCCGCGGGCAACGGCGUCAUCUCCUGCGUUCCUCGCUACUACCGCGGAGGGCACCCCCACCGUCACGGGCGCGCGAGAGGGCCACCACUCCACCACGUCUCCUGCACCGCCGACACGGCAGGACUGGACGUGGUUACCACCCAAAGCGUCGGCAGAGCAACCAGCGCUUUUGCCGUCUGCAGACACUGACGCAUCUCGUCAGCUGCUGGCCACCGUACCCCAGUCUGCUGCUGCUGGCGUGGCAGGUGCGACGUCGUCUACCAACCCACAUCGGCAGGGCCCCAUAGGCACUGGCGGUGUUGUCAACGAGGGGGCGGCUAUCAGGGACGCCUGCGCCGGCCUCACGUCCGGUUCUCCUCCUCGCGCACCACCGACUCCUAUGCCUCCUCCGCCGCCAGAAAGUGGCGACUCACCGUAUGCGGCCUCACGGGAUAGGGUUGACCUCACUCGACUCGGUGUCGCUACAGCAACGGUGAACGCAGCCGCGGUGGCGGCGUCGCCGAUGAUUGCUUUGCGGGGGCAGAGCGGCUCCUCCGUUCCACCGGGCGGUGGAAGAGUCUUUCAGAGGCACUGGCUCCCGCUCGGGUUCUGCGCUCUUCCCGUCGCCGCGGGCGGCGACAACGGCGCCUUGGCACCCGUAUCGUCUUCUGGGACGCCAGCAGUGGCGGAUGUCGCCUCGCGGGCAGCGGCCACUAUGGGCGCGGUGAUGCCAGAGUCUACAGAGCAGACGCACCUGGCUGGCUGCGACGAGGGAGCUAGACGUGGCCCAGUGCCAGCGGUAGCGAGGACGGUAUGGACGACGCGCGUGACGGACGCGGCGGCUACUGGACGCAAACCCCUUCCUGCACCAGCCCGCGUCAUACCCUCUCUCACCCUCUUCAACCCAACGGAACUGCCCUCGAAAGGCACCACCAGCGCAUCCCUCUCCGCCCCUCAAAGUGCCGAGAGCGGUUGUGGUGGCAGAGGUCAUCAACGGACAAAAUCUCUGUUGCCUGCCUGGUGCCACGUCGUUGCGGAGGCCCUCCUCUCUCCGCUGUCGCCACCAAAAAUGCACCGACCUGGCCAGCGCCGUCGCACCUCUACAUCCGGCACCACGACGGCAGUGACAACCACCUCGAACACUGUGGCGAGGGACAUUCACAGCCGAAGGUGGAGUGCGGAGGCACGAGGCGGAAUGCCGGUUGGCUCGACCGCGAAGUUCGUCACGGCGGCAGAGCGGGCAUUGGCGCCCCAGCGCGCUGCUGUAGCCGCCUCCGCAGUUGACGACCGCAGGAGGGAGGGAGGAGCGGAGGAGCAAGAGAGCUGCGCGACCCCAACGUCUCACUACUCUCACUUGCCGCCGCGCGAGAGUGCUGGCCCAGACGUAUCCGUGUUUGGUAACGCUAACCCCACCGGGCGCCAAAUCCCUCCGCCGGCGCCUCUGAAAACAACCAAACCGACUCCACCAUCACUGGUACCCUACAGUAGUGAGCCUGACGGCGUUGGCGGCGGCCGUGGCAUCGUGCGGGUCGUGGCAGAGACGACCACCGUGGACUUUGACGCUCAUGACGCGCCUCACGCGUACGCGCAAGUGCUCAUGGAGGUCGACACCAAACAUGCCACCACCACAUCGACCGUCUUAGGGUCUGGGGAUGCUGGCGUAGCCGCUAACGCCGACGCCGCCGCCGUAGCGGCGCCCACGCUGGAGCGGGCGCACACACGCAAGGUUCAGCUCUCCACCUCUACCACGCUGUGCCGAUUUCAAGGCUACCACCAACGCAGGCGCGAUGGGGGUGACGCCGUUGCCAAUCCAGGGGUUGAUGACUGUGGUGUCGGUGUCGGUGCUCCCGUUGCUCCUGUGCCGACGACAACGGCAGCAAGCGCGAAAAACAAUACGGACGACACCUCGUGGCUGAAUUACGGUGGUGCCCGCGUUGGCGAUCCCUCGGCUUCGCCGACUCGAUUCCGCGCUGUCGGCGCGACAUGGGAAAAGCAGGGCGGCCACGCGAGUACUAUCGCUCGCAGUAUCGGUGCCGCGGUAGUGUCGCUGCACUCUGACGCUGCACGGCCGCAUACGCGCACAUGUAGGCCUCCCGUCUUAGAGUCGGCUUCUGCAGUGACGCAGCUGACGAUGCUGGCUCCCGAUGGCACCGAAAUGGUGGUGCAGGAGCACACGAACGAGCGCCCAUCGCAACGACGCCACGUUCAGGUCGGCUGCUGUGCAGGCACCACUGCUGCCUCUUCCGGCUACGCAGCUCGGAAAAACUCCCCCUACAUCAUGGGUGGGUGCGCCAAUACCGGAUAUCUGCGCUUCGGUGACGUCGCGACCGCAUCGCCGAGCGCGGCUGUGACGACCGCAUCAGGCAUGCUCGCCAAGCCGGCUGCAGCGAUGCGGCCCAGUGUCAUUAUGCGGUCUCCAGCCGUACCGGCGGGGCUAGCUGGUGAGUCCGAGGGCGGCGGCGAUGGUGGAGAUGUGGACCACUCCUCAGAAGGCCUCGUGAACACCAGCCAGAACACACGGUUCAAGGGCGCAGACGGCCUUGGCUCUCUGUCCAUUUACGCAGAGACGGUACCGCUGUUUCAGAUGCUACCGGCGCCGAUCGAAGGUGUUCCUAUGUCCUCCUCUUCGCUGGCGUCGCCGCUGCAGAAUCGUCCGGAGCAGCAGCAGCCACAGGGCGUAUCUAACGUUGCGAAGGUGAGCAGCGUGAGUCGCGUGCCAAGGAGGCCACUUGCACAGCAUCUUCCCAAGCUGGGACAUCCGGCAGGGCAUACAGCCGAGUGCGAUGUGUGACGAGAGCGCGAGCGGCGAGGCGCUCGAUCUUGUUCCUCUGCGCCUUGCCCUUUUCAGACUGCGCAUGUCUGCUUUUGGUGGUUGGCGUGGGCUUUAUGGAGUGUAAAGGGAGGGAGGGAGAGGGGGGCUGCUGCUGUGAAAGGUGCAGCCAAGGGUCCUUGCUGGUGUGCGUGUGCGUUGUAUGCUGCUCUUACAGUUUUUCCUACUUGAUGCUCGGCUUUGUACUCGCUAAAGACGUGUAUUUCUUUCCAGCAGCCUUCUUCUCUCCUCUCCUCCCUCUUCACCACUUCCUCUCUGUUGCAGACCCACGCCUCGCUCGAUCGACUACACGGCAGGGAAACGAGGCGGAUGUGUGUGUGUGGGGGGGGUGAUGGUGAUGUGGCCGAGGAGGCACACAGAGCGAGAUGGGAUGGAGGGGCGUCGCGUCUCCUGCGUCGAUGCCUCUCCACCCCCUCAUGAAGAAGUCUUUUCGACACGUGGUGGCGUGGACCUGCAUGCCCUCUCUUCCUUCCCCCUUUUUCAGCACAGGCAUGCAACAGCGCGUAGUCGCGCAGGAGGAACACGCGCAUCAUAUGAGGAAAAAAUUGCCACCUUUCUGUGUGCCUUUCGUGUAUGCGCAAGCACUUCUGUGCGUGCUUGUGUGCACGCAGAGCGUGUGCUUUUUUCUUUGAGCGAGGCCGGCACCGGGGCGGCAACAGCCGUCCAUCCCUCUCUCUCUACGUUGUUGGGCGUCUUUUCGUUAUUAUUAUUAUUAUUAUUCUGCACUUUUCUUUCUUUGCUGUUUGGCCACCCCACACCUCCCCCUUCCCCCUUUUCUCUUUUUAUGUGUGCGUCUGUGUGUGUUGGUUCUUUAGCAGCAUUGCUCGCAUGGGAUGGCAAAACCUUUACCUCCCUCCUUUUCGUUUUUUUUUUGUUCCGUAUCUCUUUCCGUCCCUUCUCCUCCGUUGUGCCCUGCACUUUCCCCCUUCCCUCUCUCUCUGUCUAGGUCUUGUCUUAUGCUUCUCCCUGCUUUGUCCUCGCAACUAUCUUGUACUGCCCCCCCCCCCCGCCCGCCAUCUUCCUCCUUUUCCUCUCCAUUCUUUUAUUUCGUUUAUGUGUUGCUUUCUUGUCUCUUGAAAUUUGCACCAUUGUGCUGUUGUUUGUGUGUGUGUGUGUGUGUGCAUGCGCCAUGCUAUUCACCGUUGAAUCAGGUGGCACCCACUCCUUUCUUCCUUUUGCGUCUUCGCUCUCUCUUUUCCAUUCCGGACCACUGGCUGCUUUCUCUUUGGUUUUGUAGCUCGUCUGUCCUCCCCCUUCCCUCUAUCGCACUUAACCCUAUCUCCACCUGCCUUCCUCUCGCUUACCUCAAGAGCUUCUUCAUCCGUUUCUUCGUCCAUCACAGAAGUGUCUUUCCCCAUGUGUUUGUGUAUGCGAGCAUCGUUUUGUGCUUUUUUUUUCGGGUCUUUUCGGUUUCUCUGCUCCCCCAUGUGUGCCCUCUGUCUCUCUCUCUCUCCUUCAUGCCUCUUCCAUCGGUCUUCCCUAUGCGCUGGAUUCGUUUCUUGAGAGCAUCCCCCCACCUCUCCCUACUUUUUCCACACCUUCUUCCAGCUGAAGCGACGUUUUUUUUUUUGUUCGCUCCUUUUCCUUUUCGCAGUUGGCAGACAAUUCAAGGAUAAAGUGAAAUAAGGGAAGCCGAGGACAGUGAGAGAACUCGAGGACAGGGAGGGGUGGACUGCUAGGCGAUGGCUUCAGGAUCAGUAGCGGAUCUUCGCACGAGCACCCACCCACCCACACCAUACACACGUCGAAGACUCCAAGGGAGAUGUAUUUUUGCUAGUCAAGUAGCCUCCCCCAUGUCAAAAACCAGCAGCAAUGAAAUAAGGAGGAACCCUCACAAGCUGAAAGAAGCCGUUGGUGAUGUUUUAGGGGUAGGCGGGCGGAGUGCAGUGCGGUGUCAUGGUCGGUUUCUUCAGUUAUUGCUCUCCUUUCAUUCUAGACCCUCUUGCUUUCUGACGUCCCCCUCAUGAAGUCCGCCCGCACAUCCCCUACUCUGUCUCCCAUGCUCUUUUUCUAGCUGCCUUUGAUUGCGGAAUAACGGAACAACCAAUAAACGGAAAUCAUAAAAAAAGCAAAGUGGUGCUCUCUUUGUUGGGACGGGCGCACGUCCGUGCGUGUGUACGUGCCUGCGUUGAAUCCCCCUCCCUCCCUCCCUUCCUUCCUCUCUCCCCGGUUUGUCUAGUCGAUUUCUCUUUUUGUUCGUGCUUUUUCUUUCUCCGGGUGUGUUCUAUGUUUUCUUUCCGACGGCCCCCUCUCUCUUCUCCGGUUUCCACAUUUCUGUUGUACCUCCCCUCCUUCCCAUCUCACUCUUCUCACUCUCUACUGCUUUUCUGUUCUCUGCUGUGUUGUACGUUUCCAUGCUACUCGCCUUUAUCUCCCUGUGUGCGUGUGUGGGCUGUGCCUCCGUCUCCUGGUUCUGCACUGCCGUUCUAUCACGGCUGCCACUCCUCCUCUUUCACGUCUGCCUUCUCCCUUCGCCGCUUUCUCUCCCUCUUGCCCGUUGGCACCGAACGUAUUUCUUCGUUUUAUUUUCGCUCAUACGCCCUCUCCCCUCUGUUUGCACACACACACACACACACACACGUGCAUACAUCGAUAUAUAUAUAUAUAUAUUUAUAUGUUAUGUAUUAUAUAUAUCUAUAUAUAUGGAUAUAUAUUAG
Molecule: unclassified non-coding RNA, 14350 nt
Filed under: Leishmania donovani
Lineage: Eukaryota; Euglenozoa; Kinetoplastea; Trypanosomatida; Trypanosomatidae
Description: gene:LdHU3.12.0670(CDS-product:hypothetical_prote in_conserved)
Source: RNAcentral